Molecule: transfer RNA, 69 nt
Filed under: Atherinops affinis (topsmelt silverside)
Lineage: Eukaryota; Metazoa; Chordata; Actinopteri; Atheriniformes; Atherinopsidae
Description: tRNA-Met
Rfam family: tRNA
About the family: Transfer RNA (tRNA) molecules are approximately 80 nucleotides in length. Their secondary structure includes four short double-helical elements and three loops (D, anti-codon, and T loops).
Source: RNAcentral
AGUAGGGUCAGCUAAAAAAGCUUUUGGGCCCAUACCCCAAACAUGUUGGUUAAAAUCCUUCCCCUGCUA